GCUAGCAGCCAUAUCACCCUGUGACUCACAAAUGGCAACCUGCUGCUGCUAAGCAGGUGUGAGCCUGGUCAGUACCUGCAUGGGAGACCUCCUGGGAAAAACUAAGAUUGCUGCUGGAU
This 119-nucleotide ribosomal RNA is filed under the name Lepisosteus oculatus (spotted gar). The record is from RNAcentral. Lineage: Eukaryota; Metazoa; Chordata; Actinopteri; Semionotiformes; Lepisosteidae.